GAUGAACGCUAGCGAUAGGCUUAACACAUGCAAGUCGAGGGGCAGCGAGGUUAGCAAUACCUGUCGGCGACCGGCGCACGGGUGAGUAACGCGUAUGUAACCUGCCCGCCACAGGGGUAUAACCCGGCGAAAGUCGGACUAAUACCGCAUAAAACAGGGGUCCCGCGUGGGACUAUUUGUUAAUGAUUUAUCGGUUGCUGGUGGGCAUGCGUACCAUUAGGUAGUUGGUGAGGUAACGGCUCACCAAGCCUUCGAUGGUUAGGGGUUCUGAGAGGAAGGUACCCCACAAUGGUACUGAGACACGGACCAGACUCCUACGGGAGGCAGCAGUGAGGAAUAUUGGUGAAUGGGCGAGAGCCUGAACCAGCCAAGUCGCGUGAAGGAUGACUGCCCUAUGGGUUGUAAACUUCUUUUACAAGGGAAUAAAAUGAGAUACGUGUAUUUUAUUGAAUGUACCUUGAGAAUAAGCAUCGGCUAACUCCGUG
This 485-nucleotide ribosomal RNA is filed under the name uncultured bacterium. RNAcentral describes it as "partial 16S ribosomal RNA". It matches the Rfam family "Bacterial small subunit ribosomal RNA", at positions 28 to 507 of the family's 1533-position model. The record is from RNAcentral.